AUGGAAGACCUUCCGCCGGCCCCGCGCCGGCCGCUCUUCGACCUCAACGUCGCCAUGGAGGAUUUCGAGGAGGAGGAGCCCCAGGAGGUGGAGGAGGUCGUCGAGGUGGAGGAAGUAGUUGAGGAGGAGGAUGAGGAGGAAGAGGAACAGGCUCCCAAGGAGAUGAUCAUGGGGGAGGAGACGGCGGUGGCGCCGGCCGAGGAAGAAGACGCUAUUGUGGAGAAGGAGGUCGUGGAGGAGGUGGGGGUGUCUGGGGAAGGAGGGGAGAACGAGGGGAGGAGGAAGAAGAGGAAGGAGUACGAGGUGUUCGUGUUUGGGCUGCCGCGGGGAGCCAUGGAGGAUGACGUCGCGGCAGCGCUCACCGAGGCCGGUGAGGUCGAGGAGGUGCGGCUCGUCCGGGAUCCGGUGGAGCCGCAGCUUAACAAGGGCUUUGCCUUUGUACGCUUCGCCGAGGUUUGGCAGGCGAGGUGGGCUGCCAACGACCUCCGCACGGCCAUGAUCAAGGGAAAAGCUUGUGGAAUAUGCAAGAACAAUGAUAAUGAGACCCUUCAUCUUCGGAACAUUUGCUUCGAUUGGUCAAAAGAUGAUUUAGCAGAGAAGCUGAAAACCUUUGAGUUGGAAAACCUUGAAGAUAUCAAUUUAAUUGAGCACCCGGAUAGAAAGGGAAGAAAUAGAGGCUAUGCGUUUCUUGACUUCAGCUCACAUGUGGAUGCUGUUGCUGGAUUUCUUAAACUACAGAAAAGAGAUUUGUUUCUUGGUACUGAUGUUAGAGCACAAAUAUCAUUUUCAAACACCAUUUCACAAGAUGAUAAGGUUAUGGAGAAGGUAAAAUCUGUUUUCUUGGAUGGCUUACCGCCUCAUUGGGACGAAGACGACGUGAGGGAAAAGUUUGGAAAGUUUGGUGAAAUUGAUAAUAUACAACUUGCUAGAAAUAUGUUUACAGCAAAACGUAAAGAUUUUGGUUUCAUCAGCUUUACUACAAGACAAGCGGCAUUAGAUUGCAUUGAUAUGGUCAAUAAAGGUCGCUUUGGUGAAGGUAGUGGAAAGAUCCGCAUGAAGGCUACUCUACAAAGACCAAAGCCUACUUUCAAAAAGCCUUCAUGGCAAGGGGAUAAUCACAUGUUGGGCGUCAGGAGAGGAUUUAUUGGCAAAAAUUAUGGUGACAGAGAGCCCCACCCUAACAGAUUCAGGCAUUUAGGUCCUGAAAGACAUCCUUAUUCAAAUCAUAGCAACUACCCAGGGAGCAGAAUUCGGGGAGGUUAUGUUGGUAGGUUGCCUCCCAUGGCGGUUGAUGAUGGAGAAAGACCUGUUUCAGUGCGAGAAUACAGGUCUUACUACAGAAGAGAUUCUACAGUACCUGACCCCCGCCAUAAAUAUGGAAGGACACACCCGGGGAGCAGAAUCCGGGAAGGUUAUGUUGAGAGUCGAUAUGAUAAUAAAUAUCCAAAACAUAAGCAUGCAGCAUAUGAAGCAUCAACCAUGCAAGGAGAUGAAUACAGCAGGAGUAAAUAUAGACAUUCAUACUUGGAGAGGGCACAUGAUGAAUCUUGCCCAGAAUGCAUUAGAGGUGAUCAUAACUCAAGUGCUUAUCAGAGUGGGCAUUACUCCAGCGCUGGCAAGGCUGGUCAUCACUACCAGUGUGAGAAUGUUGAUGAAUUUGCUGCAACCAGUGGUGGAUCGGAGAAAGACUACUAUAAUAAGACAGAGCAUGAGCUCACGGUGGCUUCAACUUCUCAAGUAGCACCUCAGCGCAAGGAACCCUACCGCGGGGUGGAACAAGAGUUAUUGCCUUCAAGUCCUGCGAUGUGUAACUGUAGCGAAUGCUACAAGGGGCAGAAGUCAGCAGCAGCCCCUUCAAGCUCUCAAAGCGAGAUAACUAGUCAUUCCAAUCCUCAAGUUGCUGCUCCCCAUCGCCGGAUUGCUAAACCUUUUCAUGACCAGCGGAGCUUUGUUCCUGAUGAGUAUGAUGAGGUAGAGUACACAGUCAGGGAGCGCAGAGGCCGAUAUUUAUCUGCAAGAGACGGGAGGAAAUACUCUAGGCAAGGACGAUAG
Molecule: ribosomal RNA, 2052 nt
Filed under: Triticum aestivum (bread wheat)
Lineage: Eukaryota; Viridiplantae; Streptophyta; Magnoliopsida; Poales; Poaceae
Description: partial small subunit ribosomal RNA
Source: RNAcentral